This 68-nucleotide transfer RNA is filed under the name Protopterus aethiopicus (marbled lungfish). RNAcentral describes it as "tRNA-Ser (AGY)". The record is from RNAcentral. Lineage: Eukaryota; Metazoa; Chordata; Ceratodontiformes; Protopteridae.
GAGAGGGGUCGAGGACACUAAGGCCUGCUAAGCCCUACUUUCACAGUUCAACUCUGUGGCCCACUUAG